UCAGAGCCAGGGAAAUGCCUCUCUGUUGUAGGACAGGAAAGAGACAGGUCUCUGCCACUCUUCCAAGAAGUAAAUUGGAUUCUUAGUCAUAUAGAGUGUGUGCAGCUUGGAAGUGCUCCUGGUGGCAGAAGAGCAUUCAAAGGGAAUGGCUCUGAAGAAUGAAAGGGAAUCCUACAAGUGUGUGCUGAUGUCAGGAGUGGUUUUCCUCAUCAAAACUCUUGCACUGUGCCUGGAGAGGUGAGCCACAUAGGUAGCAGUGUGUAGAGGAUGCUUUGUGGAAAUUUUACUCUAUGGUGAUUAUUCCUUGAACAUUUGCACCCCAGAAAAAGCCAAAAAGCUACAAACCUCUGACAAAAGAAUUUUGGAGUCCAGCAUUUUAAGGCCAUUUAAAGACUGCAAUAGAGAGAACAGUGAUGCAUCUUGUUGCCACUAGUAGAUGAAACAAAAAAAAAAAGAGAGAAAACAAAGGAAUACAAGAGAGAAAUGGGAUCCUACUUCUGCCUACAAUAACUGGACUAAGAGACGCUGUAAGAUCAGUGAGGAAAUGACAAGUCAUGAAGUCUGAAGAUGCAAAAUAUGUCUUCACUGCUAUUUUCUUCAUGCAGAUAAUGGGAUACUCAGAGGUAUUUAACCAUCCUCUGUUACCAAAGAGUGGAUUAAAAUAGAAGUGCAUCAAAUAGAUUGAUCCUUCAGUGCUUUUUCGGGCUUUGUGUGUGCUUAUUUCCUGUGGCAGUGUUUGCCUGCUUCCAGGGAGUUGUUUGUAGAGACUUUAAACCAGGUGUAACAUUAGACCAAGAGAUCAAAUAGCAUCUUUGCCUUCCUAAGGUGCACUGGAAUGUGAUGAAACUGUGGAUUUGAAGCACUCUUAUAAUAGCAAAUGAUGAUAAAUUAGUUUAAAGACAACCUUUGAACAGGACUAGAAUUUCAGUGAACUACUGCAGAAACAGAAAUAACUCCUCUGCAAUUUCAUUUGGCUGUGUGAUGCACAAUAGAGAGGUUACAAAUGGUGUUAUUUACCACAAGGCUAUUUUUAAGUGCAUGUACUGAGCCUGCAAUGCAAAAUUUAUAGCUGGGUAGUACUACUGAGUGACUGAAGCUUGCACGCGCCCUAUAGGAGGCCAUAAAAUACCACGGAGUUUUAAUCUAGAAGAAAAAUUAUUUUAAAAAUGAGGAAAGGAACAGUGUGCCUCACAUGCCCUCUCAUGCUAUUUUUACUCUUACCGAGAUGGACUUUGCCAGCAUGAAAGUAUUAAGACUUGUCCUCAGAAUAACUUUUGAGCCAACCAGCAAAUAAAUCAUUACUUGAGGAGAAGCUAUUUGUGUGUGUGUGGGUAUGUGUGUUGUGUGUUUUUCAAGAAAAAAACAACAUGCUUGCACAGAAAGAUGUGACACGAUACU
This is a long non-coding RNA of Passer domesticus (house sparrow), 1398 nucleotides long. RefSeq lists it as uncharacterized. The transcript is spliced from 3 exons. The record is from RefSeq and is a predicted model, not a curated record. Lineage: Eukaryota; Metazoa; Chordata; Aves; Passeriformes; Passeridae.